GUGUCCCCUAGAGUUCCCCUUACCACUUCACUGGGGAUCUUCUCUAAUGAAUGCCUACGUACUGAAGUGUUUGGGGGAACUCCUGGUGCCAU
Molecule: microRNA precursor, 92 nt
Organism: Vitis vinifera (wine grape)
Lineage: Eukaryota; Viridiplantae; Streptophyta; Magnoliopsida; Vitales; Vitaceae
Rfam family: mir-395 microRNA precursor family
About the family: mir-395 was identified in both Arabidopsis thaliana and Oryza sativa computationally and was later experimentally verified. mir-395 is thought to target mRNAs coding for ATP sulphurylases.
Source: Rfam